GCGGCGUUGGUGUAGUGGUAGCACCGGACCCUUCCAAGGUUCAGGCGCCGGUUCGAGCCCGGCACGCCGCU
Molecule: transfer RNA, 71 nt
Filed under: Gaiella sp.
Lineage: Bacteria; Bacillati; Actinomycetota; Thermoleophilia; Gaiellales; Gaiellaceae
Description: tRNA-Gly
Rfam family: tRNA
About the family: Transfer RNA (tRNA) molecules are approximately 80 nucleotides in length.
Source: RNAcentral